This 433-nucleotide ribosomal RNA is filed under the name uncultured bacterium. RNAcentral's name for it is "partial 16S ribosomal RNA". It matches the Rfam family "Bacterial small subunit ribosomal RNA", at positions 29 to 507 of the family's 1533-position model. The record is from RNAcentral.
AACGAACGCUGGCGGCAUGCCUAACACAUGCAAGUCGAACGAGACCUUCGGGUCUAGUGGCGCACGGGUGCGUAACGCGUGGGAACCUUCCCUUAGGUUCGGAAUAACUCCCCGAAAGGGGUGCUAAUACCGGAUAAUGUCUUCGGACCAAAGAUUUAUCGCCUUUGGAUGGGCCCGCGUUGGAUUAGCUAGUUGGUAGGGUAAAAGCCUACCAAGGCGACGAUCCAUAGCUGGUCUGAGAGGAUGAUCAGCCACACUGGGACUGAGACACGGCCCAGACUCCUACGGGAGGCAGAAGUGGGGAAUAUUGGACAAUGGGCGAAAGCCUGAUCCAGCAAUGCCGCGUGAGUGAUGAAGGCCUUAGGGUUGUAAAGCUCUUUUAACCGGGAUGAUAAUGACAGUACCGGGAGAAUAAGCUCCGGCUAACUCCGUG